This is a long non-coding RNA of Aquila chrysaetos chrysaetos, 1027 nucleotides long. RefSeq lists it as uncharacterized. NCBI's taxonomy places the organism in Eukaryota, Metazoa, Chordata, Aves, Accipitriformes, Accipitridae. The transcript is spliced from 3 exons. The record is from RefSeq and is a predicted model, not a curated record.
UUCUCUACACAGAGAUAAAGCUGAGAGAAACUCUUCCACAAGGUCUCCUUAGAGAUGACAGACAGGAGCUAGUGAACCAGAAUGAGGAGUAAGAAAAUGUGCUGUUCAGUUCAUCUCCUUAUACCACAGAGGUCUCCAUUCUACAGACUUUCUCACAGCUGUUUUUCAGAGGUACACAAAAAUAUAUGAAUUCCAAAGAGGAAACUUUUCCCUCUGGAGAUGCUGAAAGAAAUGGGACAUUCUCAUGAUAUCAAAAUGUGCUGGCUCCUUUCUGUUAAAAAUGAAAUCCUUUUGAAAUCUACAUUUUUAUCAAGGAAAAAGUAUCACAGAAGACCAUUUACUGCUAAUGCUUUAUGACAAGGUAAAAGGAAGAAUUGGAAAGGUAGUCCAGUUGCCAUGGCCACUUCACGGAGUAGGAGACCUUGUCACUGGAGUGCUGACUAUGGCCAUGCCUUACUAUGAUAUAAUAGUUACCUGUUUAGUGGGAACAGUACUGGGAAUGUGUGACACACUGCAUGUGUUUCACCACCAAAUUAUGAGGCAAUGAGACCUGUGGUUACCAUGUGCCACAUUCAUCAGUGAUGUGGUGAUGGUGGGCUUUCUGCUUUCACAGACAUUGAGUUUGCCCACAGAAGGCUAUAUUUGGUCCAAAGCUAGGAAUCUGAGUUUUAGACACCAUUAUUUCUUCAGCGAAGCAUCCACAAACUUCUGUUUAUCAUAUAUUGAUUGUGUAUAUGUGUGGGUUUGUAUAUAUAUAUUUGUGUAGAAUUUAUAUUAUUGUCUUCUGCAUAAGCUGAGACUCAGAAAAUCUUGCAAGCAUUGUUCCUUGAAAAAGAAAUCUUUAGAGGCUGUGUACAAAAUCAGUUUAGAAAGAGAUCAUUUGGGUCAAAGGAUUGGAUUAUAAGUGAAUGGAAAUAAGUGAUUAUAGGGAGUUACUAUAGUAAAAUUAAUUUUGUUUUAUUUGCAUGUAUGUUCAUCUUGCAAUGCUGCUAAAUCAGGAGAAUUAAAAAUAAUUUUGAACAGGUAA